GGGACAGCCACGUACACAUAGACCCUGGAAGAAGAUCAUUGUUAUUGUUGAGGGAAUCUAUAGCAUGGAAGGAGAGCUUUGCAAACUCCCUGAAGUCAUAGCUGUGUGCAAGAAGUACAAGGCAUACACAUACUUAGAUGAGGCGCACAGCAUUGGCGCAAUAGGGAGUUCUGGCAGAGGUGUUUGUGAACUCCUAGGGGUGGAUC
RNAcentral lists this unclassified non-coding RNA (206 nucleotides) under Hevea brasiliensis (rubber tree). Lineage: Eukaryota; Viridiplantae; Streptophyta; Magnoliopsida; Malpighiales; Euphorbiaceae. The record is from RNAcentral.